AUUGAACGCUGGCGGCAGGCCUAACACAUGCAAGUCGAACGAGUGGCGGACGGGUGAGUAAUGUCUGGGAAACUGCCUGAUGGAGGGGGAUAACUACUGGAAACGGUAGCUAAUACCGCAUACCAUCGGAUGUGCCCAGAUGGGCUUAGCUAGUAGGUGGGGUAAAGGCUCACCUAGGCGACGAUCCCUAGCUGGUCUGAGAGGAUGACCAGCCCACCUGGAAAUGGUGACCGGUUCCGACUCCUGCGGGAGGCAGCAGGGGGGAAUAUUGCACAAUUGGGGCAAGCCUGAUACAGCCAUGCCGGGUGUGUGAAGAAGGCCUUCGGGUUUGAAAGUACUUUCAGCGGGGAGGCGUUACCCGCAGAAGAAGCACCGGCUAACUCCGUGCCAGCAGCCGCGGUAAUUC
This 406-nucleotide ribosomal RNA is filed under the name uncultured bacterium. Its description in RNAcentral is "partial 16S ribosomal RNA". It matches the Rfam family "Bacterial small subunit ribosomal RNA", at positions 30 to 526 of the family's 1533-position model. The record is from RNAcentral.